GAUGAACGCUGGCGGCGUGCCUAAUACAUGCAAGUCGAGCGAACAGACGAGGAGCUUGCUCCUCUGACGUUAGCGGCGGACGGGUGAGUAACACGUGGAUAACCUACCUAUAAGACUGGGAUAACUUCGGGAAACCGGAGCUAAUACCGGAUAAUAUAUUGAACCGCAUGGUUCAAUAGUGAAAGACGGUUUUGCUGUCACUUAUAGAUGGAUCCGCGCCGCAUUAGCUAGUUGGUAAGGUAACGGCUUACCAAGGCAACGAUGCGUAGCCGACCUGAGAGGGUGACCGGCCCACUUGGAACUGGAACACGGUCCAACCUCCAAGGGGAGCAGCCAGAAGGAAACUUUCGGCAAUGGCGGAAGCCUGACGGAGCAACGCCGCGUGAGUGAUGAAGGUCUUCGGAUCGUAAAACUCUGUUAUUAGGGAAGAACAAAUGUGUAAGUAACUAUGCACGUCUUGACGGUACCUAAUCAGAAAGCCACGGCUAACUACGUG
This 496-nucleotide ribosomal RNA is filed under the name uncultured bacterium. RNAcentral describes it as "partial 16S ribosomal RNA". It matches the Rfam family "Bacterial small subunit ribosomal RNA", at positions 28 to 507 of the family's 1533-position model. The record is from RNAcentral.